GACGGAAUAAUUCAAGCGGUUAGAAUAUUAGAAUCAUAAUCUAAAAGUUAUUGGUUCAAAUCCAAUUUCCGUUA
Molecule: transfer RNA, 74 nt
Filed under: Pterocladiophila hemisphaerica
Lineage: Eukaryota; Rhodophyta; Florideophyceae; Gracilariales; Pterocladiophilaceae
Description: tRNA-Met
Rfam family: tRNA
About the family: Transfer RNA (tRNA) molecules are approximately 80 nucleotides in length. Their secondary structure includes four short double-helical elements and three loops (D, anti-codon, and T loops). Further hydrogen bonds mediate the characteristic L-shaped molecular structure. tRNAs have two regions of fundamental functional importance: the anti-codon, which is responsible for specific mRNA codon recognition, and the 3' end, to which the tRNAs corresponding amino acid is attached (by aminoacyl-tRNA synthetases). tRNAs cope with the degeneracy of the genetic code in two manners: having more than one tRNA (with a specific anti-codon) for a particular amino acid; and 'wobble' base-pairing, i.e. permitting non-standard base-pairing at the 3rd anti-codon position.
Source: RNAcentral